UACGGGGGGGGCAAGCGUUGUUCGGAAUUACUGGGCGUAAAGGGCUCGUAGGUGGCCAACUAAGUCAGACGUGAAAUCCCUCAGCUUAACUGGGGAACUGCGUCUGAUACUGGAUGGCUUGAGUUUGGGAGAGGGAUGCGGAAUUCCUGGUGUAGCGGUGAAAUGCGCAGAUAUCAGGAGGAACACCGGUGGCGAAGGCGGUUCUCUGGGCAUGUCCUGACGCUGAGGAGCGAAAGUGUGGGGAGCGAACAGG
RNAcentral lists this ribosomal RNA (253 nucleotides) under uncultured bacterium. RNAcentral describes it as "partial 16S ribosomal RNA". It matches the Rfam family "Bacterial small subunit ribosomal RNA", at positions 524 to 776 of the family's 1533-position model. The record is from RNAcentral.